UACGUAGGGGGCUAGCGUUGUCCGGAAUCAUUGGGCGUAAAGAGCGUGUAGGCGGUCCGGUAAGUCCGCUGUGAAAGUCGGGGGCUCAACCCUCGAAUGCCGGUGGAUACUGUCGGGCUAGAGUGCGGAAGAGGCGAGUGGAAUUCCUGGUGUAGCGGUGAAAUGCGCAGAUAUCAGGAGGAACACCUAUUGCGAAGGCAGCUCGCUGGGACGUAACUGACGCUGGAGACGCGAAAGCGUGGGGGAGCAAACAGG
Molecule: ribosomal RNA, 255 nt
Filed under: uncultured bacterium
Lineage: Bacteria
Description: partial 16S ribosomal RNA
Rfam family: Bacterial small subunit ribosomal RNA
Source: RNAcentral